This 253-nucleotide ribosomal RNA is filed under the name uncultured bacterium. Its description in RNAcentral is "partial 16S ribosomal RNA". It matches the Rfam family "Bacterial small subunit ribosomal RNA", at positions 524 to 776 of the family's 1533-position model. The record is from RNAcentral.
UACGUAGGGGGCAAGCGUUGUCCGGAAUCAUUGGGCGUAAAGAGCGUGUAGGCGGCCCGAUAAGUCCGCUGUGAAAGUCCAGGGCUCAACCCUGGGAUGCCGGUGGAUACUGUCGGGCUCGAGUCCGGAAGAGGAGUGUGGAAUUCCUGGUGUAGCGGUGGAAUGCGCAGAUAUCAGGAAGAACACCAACGGCGAAGGCAGCUCGCUAGGACGGUACUGACGCUGAGACGCGAAAGCGUGGGGAGCGAACAGG